Molecule: ribosomal RNA, 495 nt
Filed under: uncultured bacterium
Lineage: Bacteria
Description: partial 16S ribosomal RNA
Rfam family: Bacterial small subunit ribosomal RNA
Source: RNAcentral
GACGAACGCUGGCGGCGUGCCUAAUACAUGCAAGUAGAACGCUGAAGGAGGAGCUUGCUUCUCUGGAUGAGUUGCGAACGGGUGAGUAACGCGUAGGUAACCUGCCUGGUAGCGGGGGAUAACUAUUGGAAACGAUAGCUAAUACCGCAUAAUAGUAGAUGUUGCAUGACAUUUGCUUAAAAGGUGCAAUUGCAUCACUACCAGAUGGACCUGCGUUGUAUUAGCUAGUUGGUGGGGUAACGGCUCACCAAGGCGACGAUAUAUAGCCGACCUGAGAGGGUGAUCGGCCACACUGGGACUGAGACACGGCCCAGACUCCUACGGGAGGCAGCAGUAGGGAAUCUUCGGCAAUAGACGGAAGUCUGACCGAGCAACGCCGCGUGAGUGAAGAAGGUUUUCGGAUCGUAAAGCUCUGUUGUAAGAGAAGAACGAGUGUGAGAGUGGAAAGUUCACACUGUGACGGUAUCUUACCAGAAAGGGACGGCUAACUACGUG